Molecule: ribosomal RNA, 433 nt
Filed under: uncultured bacterium
Lineage: Bacteria
Description: partial 16S ribosomal RNA
Rfam family: Bacterial small subunit ribosomal RNA
Source: RNAcentral
AACGAACGCUGGCGGCAGGCCUAACACAUGCAAGUCGAGCGCGCCCUUCGGGGUGAGCGGCGGACGGGUGAGUAACGCGUGGGAACGUGCCCUUUUCUACGGAAUAGCCUCGGGAAAAUGAGAGUAAUACCGUAUACGCCCUUGGGGGGAAAGAUUUAUCGGAAAAGGAUCGGCCCGCGUUGGAUUAGGUAGUUGGUGGGGUAAUGGCCUACCAAGCCGACGAUCCAUAGCUGGUUUGAGAGGAUGAUCAGCCACACUGGGACUGAGACACGGCCCAGACUCCUACGGGAGGCAGCAGUGGGGAAUCUUAGACAAUGGGGGCAACCCUGAUCUAGCCAUGCCGCGUGAGUGAUGAAGGCCUUAGGGUUGUAAAGCUCUUUCAGCUGGGAAGAUAAUGACGGUACCAGCAGAAGAAGCCCCGGCUAACUCCGUG